Molecule: ribosomal RNA, 437 nt
Filed under: uncultured bacterium
Lineage: Bacteria
Description: bacterial SSU rRNA
Rfam family: Bacterial small subunit ribosomal RNA
Source: RNAcentral
GUGGGGAAUCUUGCGCAAUGGACGAAAGUCUGACGCAGCAACGCCGCGUGGGGGAUGAAGCUUCUCGGAGUGUAAACCCCUUUCGACCCGGACGAAUGCCCGCAAGGGUUUGACGGUACGGGUAUAAGAAGCCCCGGCUAACUACGUGCCAGCAGCCGCGGUAAAACGUAGGGGGCCAGCGUUGCUCGGAAUUACUGGGCGUAAAGGGUCCGUAGGCGGUGUGGCAAGUCGGAAGUGAAAUCUCUGGGCUUAACCCAGAGGCUGCUCCCGAAACUGCCAUGCUAGAGUGCGAGAGAGGCGAGUGGAAUUGCGGGUGUAGCGGUGAAAUGCGUAGAUAUCCGCAGGAACAUCCGAGGCGAAGGCGGCUCGCUGGAUCGCAACUGACGCUGAGGGACGAAAGCUAGGGGAGCAAACAGGAUUAGAUACCCUUGUAGUCC